UGGGGAAUCUUGCGCAAUGGGCGAAAGCCUGACGCAGCAACGCCGCGUGCGGGAUGAAGGCCUUCGGGUUGUAAACCGCUUUCAGUGGGGACGAACCAAGACGGUACCCACAGAAGAAGCCCCGGCCAACUACGUGCCAGCAGCCGCGGUAACACGUAGGGGGCAAGCGUUGUCCGGAUUCAUUGGGCGUAAAGAGCUCGUAGGCGGUUCGAUAAGUCGGGUGUGAAACCUCCAGGCUCAACCUGGAGACGCCACCCGAUACUGUCGUGACUAGAGUCCAGUAGGGGAGCGUGGAAUUCCUGGUGUAGCGGUGAAAUGCGCAGAUAUCAGGAGGAACACCAGCGGCGAAGGCGGCGCUCUGGGCUGGAACUGACGCUGAGGAGCGAAAGCGUGGGGAGCGAACAGGAUUAGAUACCCAAGUAGUCCCUGAGCGGGCUGGCAAGGCGCAU
Molecule: ribosomal RNA, 449 nt
Filed under: uncultured bacterium
Lineage: Bacteria
Description: bacterial SSU rRNA
Rfam family: Bacterial small subunit ribosomal RNA
Source: RNAcentral